Molecule: ribosomal RNA, 571 nt
Filed under: uncultured bacterium
Lineage: Bacteria
Description: bacterial SSU rRNA
Rfam family: Bacterial small subunit ribosomal RNA
Source: RNAcentral
CGACGAUGCGUAGGGGUUCUGAGAGGAAGGUCCCCCACACUGGUACUGAGACACGGACCAGACUCCUACGGGAGGCAGCAGUGAGGAAUAUUGGUCAAUGGCCGCAGGGCUGAACCAGCCAAGUCGCGUGAGGGAUGACGGUCCUAUGGAUUGUAAACCUCUUUUGUCAGGGAGCAAAGGGCGCCACGUGUGGCGUUUUGCGAGUACCUGAAGAAAAAGCAUCGGCUAACUCCGUGCCAGCAGCCGCGGUAAUACGGAGGAUGCGAGCGUUAUCCGGAUUUAUUGGGUUUAAAGGGUGCGCAGGCGGAAUGUCAAGUCAGCGGUAAAAUUUCGGGGCUCAACCCCGUCGUGCCGUUGAAACUGGCGUUCUUGAGUGAGCGAGAAGUAUGCGGAAUGCGUGGUGUAGCGGUGAAAUGCAUAGAUAUCACGCAGAACUCCGAUUGCGAAGGCAGCAUACCGGCGCUCAACUGACGCUCAUGCACGAAAGCGUGGGUAUCGAACAGGAUUAGAUACCCUGGUAGUCCACGCAGUAAACGAUGAAUACUAACUGUCCGGGCAGAAUGAUGCCUGG